RNAcentral lists this ribosomal RNA (279 nucleotides) under uncultured bacterium. RNAcentral's name for it is "partial 16S ribosomal RNA". It matches the Rfam family "Bacterial small subunit ribosomal RNA", at positions 506 to 784 of the family's 1533-position model. The record is from RNAcentral.
UGCCAGCCGCCGCGGUAAUACAGAGACCUCGAGCGUUAUUCGGAUUCACUGGGCGUAAAGCGUACGUAGGCGGAUCGGAAAGUAAGGGGUGAAAUCCCAGGGCUCAACCCUGGAACUGCCUCUUAAACUCCUGGUCUUGAGUUCGAGAGAGGUGAGUGGAAUUCCGAGUGUAGAGGUGAAAUUCGUAGAUAUUCGGAGGAACACCAGUGGCGAAGGCGGCUCACUGGCUCGAUACUGACGCUGAGGUACGAAAGUGUGGGGAGCAAACAGGAUUAGAUA